AAAUUGAAGAGUUUGAUCAUGGCUCAGAUUGAACGCUGGCGGCAGGCCUAACACAUGCAAGUCGAACGGUAACAGGAAACAGCUUGCUGUUUCGCUGACGAGUGGCGGACGGGUGAGUAAUGUCUGGGAAACUGCCUGAUGGAGGGGGAUAACUACUGGAAACGGUAGCUAAUACCGCAUAACGUCGCAAGACCAAAGAGGGGGACCUUCGGGCCUCUUGCCAUCGGAUGUGCCCAGAUGGGAUUAGCUAGUAGGUGGGGUAACGGCUC
This 269-nucleotide ribosomal RNA is filed under the name Escherichia coli. Its description in RNAcentral is "partial 16S ribosomal RNA". It matches the Rfam family "Bacterial small subunit ribosomal RNA", at positions 1 to 266 of the family's 1533-position model. Lineage: Bacteria; Pseudomonadati; Pseudomonadota; Gammaproteobacteria; Enterobacterales; Enterobacteriaceae. RNAcentral also lists the same sequence under 1 other name. The record is from RNAcentral.